UAAUUGCUGAACUUGCAUUACCUUAUCUAACUCGUAUAUCCCAUAACAGACCAAUUUUCAUGACAGAGAGAGAGGACGUGUAAAGCCUGUGCCACCAAAGGCUGACCGGCCACCUGACUGAACGCUGCUGCCUUGUGCUCGCUGUGACUCACUCUCAGACUGGCAGCUGAAAUUAAAGGCCACUUUGCAACCAGUAUACAUCAUUGCUAGAGAGGUCUCUUGAUGACAGAUUCAUAAAAUUACUAUGAUCAAAUUAGAAAAAGCUUCCCUGGGUGGACUGAAGACAGCUUCCCACAGAGAGAUGACGCACAUUUCCUGGUGACUAUGCAGGAAAAGAUUAGGAAGUUGAAGAGUCUUCUCUGGCUUUCAGUCUAUCGAGAGAAGGUAUUUGAUGCUUUUAUGGGAAGACGUUUCAGGAAGGAGGACAACUGAGGGGCAUGUGCAAUCACCUCCUGUACUAAAACAACAACAUCCCUUGCAAGAAUUAUGUCUGAUUUAUUUAUCCCAGUGAUGCCCUACCUACUGGAUUACUUAUUUAAAAAAAAAACUAAACUCCUGGACACACAUAGACUAUCAGUUCAUCUUGUAGGUACAUAUUACUGUAAGUCUCAUUAUGUGGGGAUCAGGUUGUUCUUUGCAUAACCUGAUUUGGUGUAAAUUACGGUUAAUUUGACAGCGCACAGUUGUAAGAGAACAGUGAAUGAGGUGUACUGUACCAAACAGUGACGAGUUUUAGGAUUACACAUCAUUGCUACUGAUUCAGUCGAGCUUGAUGACAGCUGUAGCAGGGCGGCCCAAGAUGUAAACAAGAGGAUCGCCUGCACUGUUUCCUCUAUUCAGUUUGCAAUGCUUAUCAAUUUCCUGUGCUGCAUUAUCUGAUUUAUCCUUAUUGGGAUCUAUUGCACUGGUACAGUAGUCUGACACUGUGAAAUGAACCAGCAAAGAGCAGCUCAACAAGCCAAAGCUCAUUAAUGCACUGCGCAGUGGGACUACUGCAGAUAAAAGGAUGGAGAGGUGAAGAGAAUGAAUGGAUUGGUGGGUGGAUGAAUUGGGUCAUUGGUAGCUGGGUAGAUGGAUAGAUAAGUAGCUAGUAAAUAGAUUUAUGUUGCUAAAUAUGGUUCAGUAGCUAAAUGAAU
Long non-coding RNA from Monopterus albus (swamp eel), 1136 nucleotides. RefSeq lists it as uncharacterized. NCBI's taxonomy places the organism in Eukaryota, Metazoa, Chordata, Actinopteri, Synbranchiformes, Synbranchidae. The record is from RefSeq and is a predicted model, not a curated record. The transcript has 4 exons.